RNAcentral lists this long non-coding RNA (295 nucleotides) under Nicotiana benthamiana. Its description in RNAcentral is "long non-coding RNA (NBEN_LNC004928)". Lineage: Eukaryota; Viridiplantae; Streptophyta; Magnoliopsida; Solanales; Solanaceae. The record is from RNAcentral.
UCACAUAGCACAUUCUUCCCAAAUAAAACUCCCACCACAUAACACCUCAUUCCACACACUCUAUAUAACCAGUUCUAUCAACAACAAAAAAGGAUGAGCGGAGCUUUUGACAGAUACACCCCCCUCCUAGCCUCACGUCUCCUUCAUCACACCCCACAACAAAAGACCCCAAAACCAGUAACACAUUCACAAUAGAACCCCAUAUGUUCUGCUUCGUCAUCAUCUUCUUUGACAAACAACAACAACAACAACAACUACCCAGUAUACUCCCACCAGGUGGGGUCUGGGGAGGGNN